Molecule: transfer RNA, 84 nt
Filed under: Bacteroidetes bacterium GWF2_35_48
Lineage: Bacteria; Pseudomonadati; Bacteroidota
Also listed under: 4 other names
Description: tRNA-Tyr
Rfam family: tRNA
About the family: Transfer RNA (tRNA) molecules are approximately 80 nucleotides in length. Their secondary structure includes four short double-helical elements and three loops (D, anti-codon, and T loops). Further hydrogen bonds mediate the characteristic L-shaped molecular structure. tRNAs have two regions of fundamental functional importance: the anti-codon, which is responsible for specific mRNA codon recognition, and the 3' end, to which the tRNAs corresponding amino acid is attached (by aminoacyl-tRNA synthetases). tRNAs cope with the degeneracy of the genetic code in two manners: having more than one tRNA (with a specific anti-codon) for a particular amino acid; and 'wobble' base-pairing, i.e. permitting non-standard base-pairing at the 3rd anti-codon position.
Source: RNAcentral
GGGGAGUUACCAGAGUGGCCAAAUGGGGCAGACUGUAAAUCUGCUGACGUACCGUCUACGGUGGUUCGAAUCCAUCACUCCCCA